This is a non-coding RNA of Myodes glareolus (Bank vole), 277 nucleotides long. Lineage: Eukaryota; Metazoa; Chordata; Mammalia; Rodentia; Cricetidae. The record is from RefSeq and is a predicted model, not a curated record.
UUUCCCCUUCAGCUGAUCUGGCCAUCUCAGUUCUCCAGUCUCCAAGAAAGCACCAGGAACACAUGGCCCCUGCAUUCUCCCCAGGCCAAGAUGUGAGCAUCAAGAUGCAACCAGGAGCAGCUGAGAGUUCCUGCCACAUGCCUUUUCUACACCACCAUGGACUCUAGCCCUCUGAAACUGAACAUUAUUAUAUGUCAAAUCCUUCUGGACUUUCUUCUGGAGUAAUUCAUGAGUCUUCCCUGUCUUUCCAUGUCCACAGCAUCACUUUCUGUAGGCA